AUCUUUGGGAAGCAUCUCAGUCACAAGUGUGCAAUUGCAAGAAAGAGCUUAAAAAACACGCACUCGCCGAUAUGGCUUCCAAAAAUCCUUCCUUCAAGAUAAUUCUAGGCUCUUCUUCAAAGGCUCGCAAACAGAUUCUUGCUGAAAUGGGUUACGAAUUCACAAUAAUGACUGCAGACAUUGAUGAGAAAAGUAUUAGGAGGGAAAAGCCACAAGAUUUGGUAGUCACUUUAGCUGAAGCAAAGGCUGAUGCUAUUGUGCAAAGGCUCCUUACUGAUGGUCCAUUGGAGACAGAUGCUUCUUCAACACUGUUAAUCACCGCAGACACUGUUGUGGUAUAUCGAGGAACAAUUAGGGAAAAACCAACUAGUGAAAAAGAAGCAAGGGAAUUCAUCAAAGGAUAUUCGGGUAGUCAUGCAGCUGUGGUAGGAUCUGUUGUGGUGACUAACCUUGCGACUGGAAAACGUUAUGGAGGAUGGGAGAGUGCAGAGGUUUAUUUCCUUGAAAUACCGGAUGAGGUCAUCGAUAAUCUGGAAAUUCUUGUCAACCAAAAUACUAUAUGAGUUUUCUUAUUUGAUGGGAGCUUCUCAGAUUGACGAGGGAGUUACGUUCAAUGUUGCUGGGGGUUUGAUGCUGGAACAUCCAUUGACGCUACCCUUUGUGGACGCGGUGAUUGGAUCAACUGAUACAGUGAUGGGACUUUCCAAAGCUCUUACAGAGAAACUCAUAAUGGAAGCUCUUAUAUAGCUGCUGCAGUUCUACAGUUAUAUUCUGAUUAACACCAUGUGCUGGCUGACUGCAAUAUUACCUCAAUGAUACUCUAAUGUUUUUAUUUGCACAAAUUGUAAUACAAACGAGAGUUCUUGAGGGCUUUAAGAGCUUGAUUUUGUAACCUCAAAGAACACAGUUCAAAUUCUGUAUGAAACAAUUGUACAAUGAACAUUAGUAUCGUUAUUAUAGAAUCCUUGCUAAAUUUUGUUUUUUCAA
Molecule: RNA transcript, 987 nt
Organism: Cicer arietinum (chickpea)
Lineage: Eukaryota; Viridiplantae; Streptophyta; Magnoliopsida; Fabales; Fabaceae
Source: RefSeq, a predicted model, not a curated record